RNAcentral lists this ribosomal RNA (460 nucleotides) under uncultured bacterium. Its description in RNAcentral is "partial 16S ribosomal RNA". It matches the Rfam family "Bacterial small subunit ribosomal RNA", at positions 338 to 795 of the family's 1533-position model. The record is from RNAcentral.
CCUACGGGAGGCAGCAGUGAGGAAUAUUGGUCAAUGGGCGUAAGCCUGAACCAGCCAAGUCGCGUGAGGGAUGAAGGUUCUAUGGUUCGUAAACUUCUUUUAUAAGGGAAUAAAGUGAGGCACGUGUUCCAUUUUGUAUGUACUUUAUGAAUAAGGAUCGGCUAACUCCGUGCCAGCAGCCGCGGUAAUACGGAGGAUCCGAGCGUUAUCCGGAUUUAUUGGGUUUAAAGGGUGCGUAGGCGGACUGUUAAGUCAGCGGUGAAAGUCUGUGGCUCAACCGUAGAAUUGCAGUUGAAACUGGGGGGCUUGAGUAUGUUUGAGGCAGGCGGAAGUCGUGGUGUAGCGGUGAAAUGCUUAGAUAUCACGAAGAACCCCGAUUGCGAAGGCAGCCUGCCAAACCAUGACUGACGCUGAUGCACGAAAGCGUGGGGAUCAAACAGGAUUAGAUACCCUUGUAGUA